This is a long non-coding RNA of Brienomyrus brachyistius, 906 nucleotides long. RefSeq lists it as uncharacterized. Lineage: Eukaryota; Metazoa; Chordata; Actinopteri; Osteoglossiformes; Mormyridae. The transcript is spliced from 2 exons. The record is from RefSeq and is a predicted model, not a curated record.
GCCAUUCUUGUUGUUCUUGUUAAAUUGUGUAUGUGGGCUAUAUAUAGACAGGAGUUCACCUAACCCUAUGAUCCUCAAAGUGUGCGGCGCGCCCCCCCCCAUGGGGCGUGCAGUGGCACUGCAGGGGGGCACGAAACACAAAUCUCAAGUUGAGGGUGUGCUAACAUGUGUAGCGGACCUAGAGUACGUGAGCAGAGUAGAAAACAAUUUAAGCUAAAAUUAAAGCUUAAUGCAAAUUGUUUUCUUUUUUUGGAACGAGCGGUGAGCGAUUUCAUUGGAAUGUGGUGAAAACGGACUGAAGCGGGGAGCGAUAAUGAGCGAAGCGGUUUGCAACGGCUGUGAACGGGGAAGCGGGGGAGCGUACCGCUCAGUCUGCACAUACAUGUACAUACAGCGAAACCAACAUGAAGCAAAACAUGGACCAGAACUGAGCCCACAGUGAUACCCUCUGAAUCACCAUCCCACCUGUAAUACAUCCCAGUCAGUGGCCGACUGGUAGGUGGGACAACAGGGGCAAAAAUCCUGUUUUGGAGCUCUACUGUGGACCUUCAGCUACUUGCAUAACCAGGACUCUCAAGUUUCAUUAAAAGUUUGGAGUGAGAUUACAUCUGUUGGGGGCGCAGUGCGUGUCUCACGGUCAGUGUGUGGGACUUGAGAGCCCUGCCUACUGCAUUCAUGGGAUCUCGCUCCACUCACACCUUGUCUGAUCUGAUCAUCCAUGUAAUGAUGUGUUUGCAGUGGGAUCACAUGUAACUUAUUUUGGAAUUAACCCGGAAACAACAAAUGCUAUUUUCUGAUUGGCUGACAGGUGGCUAUUAACUCUGUAUAAUUCGGGACAGCUAUGAACUCGGUGUAAAAUUCCGCUCUGUAAUCUUGCUCCUCGUCCAUUAAUCCUAUAUAACAAGA